Molecule: ribosomal RNA, 551 nt
Filed under: uncultured bacterium
Lineage: Bacteria
Description: bacterial SSU rRNA
Rfam family: Bacterial small subunit ribosomal RNA
Source: RNAcentral
GUAGGGAAUCUUCGGCAAUGGGGGCAACCCUGACCGAGCAACGCCGCGUGAGUGAAGAAGGUUUUCGGAUCGUAAAGCUCUGUUGUAAGAGAAGAACGAGUGUGAGAGUGGAAAGUUCACACUGUGACGGUAACUUACCAGAAAGGGACGGCUAACUACGUGCCAGCAGCCGCGGUAAUACGUAGGUCCCGAGCGUUAUCCGGAUUUAUUGGGCGUAAAGCGAGCGCAGGCGGUUAGAUAAGUCUGAAGUUAAAGGCUGUGGCUUAACCAUAGUACGCUUUGGAAACUGUUUAACUUGAGUGCAGAAGGGGAGAGUGGAAUUCCAUGUGUAGCGGUGAAAUGCGUAGAUAUAUGGAGGAACACCGGUGGCGAAAGCGGCUCUCUGGUCUGUAACUGACGCUGAGGCUCGAAAGCGUGGGGAGCAAACAGGAUUAGAUACCCUGGUAGUCCACGCCGUAAACGAUGAGUGCUAGGUGUUGGGUCCUUUCCGGGACUCAGUGCCGCAGCUAACGCACUAAGCACUCCGCCUGGGGAGUACGACCGCAAGGUUG